This 253-nucleotide ribosomal RNA is filed under the name uncultured bacterium. RNAcentral's name for it is "partial 16S ribosomal RNA". It matches the Rfam family "Bacterial small subunit ribosomal RNA", at positions 524 to 776 of the family's 1533-position model. The record is from RNAcentral.
UACGAAGGUUGCGAGCGUUAUCCGGAUUUAUUGGGUUUAAAGGGUGCGUAGGCGGUCUUAUAAGUCAGUGGUGAAAUCUCGUUGCUUAACAACGAACGUGCCAUUGAUACUGUAGGACUUGAGUACAGUUGCCGUUGGCGGAAUGUGUCAUGUAGCGGUGAAAUGCAUAGAUAUGACACAGAACACCGAUUGCGAAGGCAGCUGACGAAACUGUAACUGACGCUGAGGCUCGAAAGCGUGGGGAUCAAACAGG